UUGGCUAUUCGCUCUAUCGCUGUUUUGUUUUUUACAGAAGAGAGGAAAGUCGGGACAACAAAGGACGCCAUACUUCCUAACAGGAAGGUGUUUCAGGAAACUGAGGCAACAGCAAGUGCAACAGAAAGAAUACCGCCUAAGGUUGUUUUCGAACAAUCCGGUAAGGGUGAAAUCGUGGAGUAAGAGCCCACGCCUGUUUUAUGUGAAUAAAGCUGUGUGUAAACCUUAUGGGUUGAAAGACCAAAUAAACCAAGAAUUUUUUGUUCGUCAAAGAGGAAGGUCGGUCCGGCCAAUCUUGGAGGGUAGGUCGCUUGAGCUUGAAAGUGAUUUCAAGUCUAGAUAAAUGAUAGAGGUUCCGCCUAGCGGAAUACAGAAUCCCGCUUAUAGAAUAGCCAAACAU
Molecule: RNase P RNA, 400 nt
Filed under: Bacteroidales bacterium
Lineage: Bacteria; Pseudomonadati; Bacteroidota; Bacteroidia; Bacteroidales
Description: RNase P RNA component class A
Rfam family: Bacterial RNase P class A
About the family: Ribonuclease P (RNase P) is a ubiquitous endoribonuclease, found in archaea, bacteria and eukarya as well as chloroplasts and mitochondria. Its best characterised activity is the generation of mature 5'-ends of tRNAs by cleaving the 5'-leader elements of precursor-tRNAs. Cellular RNase Ps are ribonucleoproteins.
Source: RNAcentral